UCUCCGUUGGUGAACCAGCGGAGGGAUCAUUACCGAGUUUACAACUCCCAAACCCAAUGUGAACCAUACCAAACUGUUGCCUCGGCGGGGUCACGCCCCGGGUGCGUCGCAGCCCCGGAACCAGGCGCCCGCCGGGGGGACCAACCAAACUCUUUCUGUAGUCCCCUCGCGGACGUUAUUUUUACAGCUCUGAGCAAAAAUUCAAAAUGAAUCAAAACUUUCAACAACGGAUCUCUUGGUUCUG
This 244-nucleotide unclassified non-coding RNA is filed under the name plant metagenome. RNAcentral's name for it is "partial contains small subunit ribosomal RNA, internal transcribed spacer 1, and 5.8S ribosomal RNA". The record is from RNAcentral.